ACCGGCAGCUCAAGUGGUGGCCAUUAUUAUUGGGCCUAAAGCGUUCGUAGCCGGUUUGAUAAGCCUCUGGUGAAAUCCCGCAGCUUAACUGUGGGACUUGCUGGAGAUACUAUCAGACUUGAGGUCGGGAGAGGUUAGGGGUACUCCCAGGGUAGGGGUGAAAUCCUAUAAUCCUGGGAGGACCACCUGUGGCGAAGGCGCCUAACUGGAACGAACCUGACGGUGAGUAACGAAAGCGUGGGGAGCAAACAG
RNAcentral lists this ribosomal RNA (252 nucleotides) under uncultured prokaryote. RNAcentral describes it as "partial 16S rRNA". It matches the Rfam family "Archaeal small subunit ribosomal RNA", at positions 475 to 726 of the family's 1478-position model. The record is from RNAcentral.